GCCCUCGUAGUUAAAUGGAUAGAACACUGGCCUCCGGAGCCGAAGAUUCGGGUUCGAGUCCCGACGAGGGCGCCA
Molecule: transfer RNA, 75 nt
Filed under: Puniceicoccales bacterium
Lineage: Bacteria; Pseudomonadati; Verrucomicrobiota; Opitutia; Puniceicoccales
Description: tRNA-Arg
Rfam family: tRNA
About the family: Transfer RNA (tRNA) molecules are approximately 80 nucleotides in length. Their secondary structure includes four short double-helical elements and three loops (D, anti-codon, and T loops).
Source: RNAcentral